GGAGAUUUAGCUCAGUGGUAGAGCACUUGCCUAGCAAGCACAAGGCCCUGGGUUCAGUCCCCAGCUCUG
Non-coding RNA from Rattus norvegicus (Norway rat), 69 nucleotides. NCBI's taxonomy places the organism in Eukaryota, Metazoa, Chordata, Mammalia, Rodentia, Muridae. The record is from Rfam.